This 1103-nucleotide long non-coding RNA is filed under the name Haliotis rufescens (red abalone). RNAcentral's name for it is "uncharacterized LOC124117843, transcript variant X1". Lineage: Eukaryota; Metazoa; Mollusca; Gastropoda; Lepetellida; Haliotidae. The record is from RNAcentral.
CCCACAUCGGAGAGACACACUACGUUCUCCUAUCUAACAUCCAGAGUUCUUCACACCUGCGUCGAUCGACCAGGUACCCGACAGGUGUCAUUUUGAAGCCUGGAGUCUGGACCUCCUGAACAACUACCCGACUGAACCUAGGAAGACGAGGCAGGCUUUGACUGUGUCAUGUCAUAGGAUGAAUUCACACAAGGCAGAUGGUAGACAACACGUUUGGAGAGGGCAUGGAGAGAGGUAUGAUCCGGAAGCAGACCAACAGCUCGAUAGGUACGGUGGUGGCGGCGUCAUGGUCUCAGCUGGCAUCACAUACGACAACUGGACGGAUUUGAUGAUCGUGUAAAGCAACAAGACCGGGCAAUGUAAUGUGGACGUAAUGUUACAUCCAGUGGUAAUCCCAGUGUGAAGGUCAGAACUAGGAGUUUCCAGGAUGACAAUGCAUGUCUUCACAGAACCUGUGUUGCAGUUGACUGUCUGAGACAGCACAGUGUCACAACAUUGGCCUGGCCAGCCGCGACUUUGUAGUUAGGCUCUUUGUGGUUAAUUAUUCAGCCAACUGGCAUAAAAUAUGCAAAAAGUUUACAAGCUGUCUAGCUUGACAACAGUACAAGGAUCUAUACCAAGGCAUUGCUAUAAUAGUAUAUUAUUGAAGUUGUUAUCCAUAAAUUAUGUCUCCUUUGUCAUCCAUCAACUUCUACAGGGUUAGAACUAAACUAAAAAGCUUUACUAGCCCGGGUAAAGAGAAAUGCCCUUGUAAUGUUAAAACGCAGGGGAAAUGUGGACAUUUUUACUCACCCGCAUAAGUUUAUACUAGCCCCGGGCUAGCGGGCUAGUGUUAAGUUCUAACCCUGUUCUAAUAAAUAAUAGCAACAAAACCCUUUCCCUAUUCACAAGAAAUCUCUAUCUAUGUCGGCCAACAUAUAGUCAAUGAAAUCUAUUAUUACACAAUGCAUUUCUCUCCUCUAAAACUAAAACAAAUAAUUUUCCUGAAUCAUUUUUCUGAUGCUGUGGAAUAGAGGUGGCUAGAUAUUGCUAGAGCUGGCUAGCCUUGCUUUUAUAUAUAUCUACAGGUUUUGUUUCAAUAAAAUAGUUAUAUUCCACAGUCA